Molecule: transfer RNA, 83 nt
Filed under: Candidatus Parcubacteria bacterium
Lineage: Bacteria; Candidatus Parcubacteria
Description: tRNA-Leu
Rfam family: tRNA
About the family: Transfer RNA (tRNA) molecules are approximately 80 nucleotides in length.
Source: RNAcentral
GGGCGAGUGGCGGAACGGUUUACGCGCAGCACUCAAAAUGCUGUGGGAGCAAUCCCAUGAGAGUUCGAAUCUCUCCUCGCCCA